GGGUCUUUAGCCCAGUGGUAGAGCAUUUGAUUGCAGAUCAAGAGAUCAUUGGUUCAAACCUGGUAGGGCCCU
Transfer RNA from Ipomoea nil (Japanese morning glory), 72 nucleotides. It matches the Rfam family "tRNA". From Rfam's summary of the family: Transfer RNA (tRNA) molecules are approximately 80 nucleotides in length. NCBI's taxonomy places the organism in Eukaryota, Viridiplantae, Streptophyta, Magnoliopsida, Solanales, Convolvulaceae. The record is from Rfam.